AACGCGAAGAACCUUACCCGGCCUUGACAUCUAUGGAAUUCUUCAGAGAUGAGGAAGUGCCUUCGGGAACCAUAAGACAGGUGCUGCAUGGCUGUCGUCAGCUCGUGUCGUGAGAUGUUGGGUUAAGUCCCGCAACGAGCGCAACCCUUGUCCUUAGUUGCCAUCAUUAAGUUGGGAACUCUAAGGAGACCGCCGGUGACAAACCGGAGGAAGGUGGGGAUGACGUCAAGUCAUCAUGGCCUUUAUGGCCGGGGCUACACACGUGCUACAAUGGCAGGUACAGAGGGAAGCCAACUCGCGAGAGGGAGCCAAUCCCAGAAAGCCUGUCGUAGUCCGGAUCGGAGUCUGCAACUCGACUCUGUGAAGUCGGAAUCGCUAGUAAUCGCAGAUCAGCAUUGCUGCGGUGAAUACGUUCCCGGGCCUUGUA
Molecule: ribosomal RNA, 427 nt
Filed under: uncultured Gammaproteobacteria bacterium
Lineage: Bacteria; Pseudomonadati; Pseudomonadota; Gammaproteobacteria
Description: bacterial SSU rRNA
Rfam family: Bacterial small subunit ribosomal RNA
Source: RNAcentral